This 1146-nucleotide long non-coding RNA is filed under the name Anas platyrhynchos platyrhynchos (common mallard). RNAcentral describes it as "lncRNA (ENSAPLG00000023428.1)". The record is from RNAcentral. Lineage: Eukaryota; Metazoa; Chordata; Aves; Anseriformes; Anatidae.
AUGGGAACAGCUCAUAUUCCAGUAGAAAGCAGGAACAGGCAUCAAGGGUUUGUGGGUGCUUUUCACAGGAAAGAAGUGAGGAUGAUCAAAAUGGUAGGACACAAGUCAACUGAAUUUGGCUUUGAUUUCUGGUUUAUGAAAUGCCUCUUUCUUUAUCUUGACUUCCGAUUGCCAUUGUUUACAUGCCUUUGGAAGAACUGAAGAUCAAACACAGAACAGGGGGAGAGAAGCUUUGGAAAUUAGCAAUGUAUAUAGAGACUUGGCAACAGCAUUAAUAGAUGCAAAGGAAAAUUACAAGAAGAAAGAAAAUAACCUAAAUGAAGUCAACUUGCAAUAUGAAUAUCAAAAGAGGACUAGUUUGGAAAUGGAAAUGCAGCACACUUGGAAUUAAUGUGGACCCAUUCUAGGCCUGGCAUGAUUCAUAAAGUGCCAACAGGCUGUACAAUUUGCAUCAGUAUCUAUGUUUCGAUACAAUUUUGUAACCAGGCUAUUUAAAUGAUCUAAUCCUUUUAUGCAUGCGUGUGGGAGCCUGGAGAUGAGAAAGGGUAGGCAAGAGCUGGGUAUCUGCAGGGCACGUCUCACAUGCAACUUGUCAGGGCCAACUCCAGACUGAAAAAGCAACAUCUCUGUUCAAACCCUGGCUUUGUCAUUUUGAUACACACAUUCCGGCUGCAGAUUCUCUGAGCAGACAUUUCUGAAUACAGGCAAUGUAGUCUCCUCCCUUCCUCUCAGGAUGCUUUAAUUCAAAGCACAUAUAUAGUUGUCAGUCCUGCUUUAAGUCAUUGCAAGAUGUAAAGCCUGAUGCUAUAUCACAGAAGACAGAACGUGUGUGUUUGGAAGUUUGCAUCUAUAUAGAUGCAUACAUGUAACAUCGGGAAUCAGAAGCCUGAUUGUUGCUUCACCUCCCUUAAACUUAUGUGGAGUUAACUCUUGAUUUGUACUGAACAGAGGCCAGUUGCUGAAGGCAAAUAUGUUGGAGGCAGUGCCCUCUUUUUGAUCAACAUGGGUAUACAAUGGUUACAAGAAGAAAAUGUUACCACUUUGAAUAAUUGUGCUAUGCAAGCUAGAAGGGGCUCCACACGGUGCUCAUUCUGUCAGUAUUGUAAUGAAAAUGUUGGUACAUAAUAAAUAAAAAUUCAGUAUUCA